UUCUAGUCCCAUAACCUCCCAGUUUAUCGUUCGUUUCGGCCACCCAACCUGGAGACAGCAGUUGUGAAAUCUUCCCAGGCAUGUAGCUUGGCAGGUCGCCAUCAGGACUACUAGGACAGACCUGACCAAAAGUCUCACUCACUGAGCUCUCCGACCACCCUGGGGUGUCCACACACGGUUCCUCCCAUGAGAGCAGCAACUUGUUCAGAGAGCUCUUCAUAUCACCUUGGAAAAAGAUGAAAAAUGCAGUGGAAAAAUGAACAAGGGAUCUGAGUGUCAAUCAUAAACACUCAAACCUGUUCAACUUCACUUAGAAUUAGAGACUUGGAAAUCGCUGUCCAUGAAGAACCCAUCUUAAAUGGCAAGGAUCACAAGUUUGGCCACAUGCCUUACAAAAUGUUUCUAUGUAUCUGAGACAGAUGGAUGGGCUUCAAUCUAGAUCUCAGCAUCCUGCCUCAGCAUCCUAGGGUUCAAAGAUAAUUGUGCACCACCACGCCCUGUUUCUGUCACAACUCUGAAAGAAGUUCUGCAAAACACAAAUGUGUGUCCCACCUCAGCUCCAAGCAACACCUGAGGCCUGGAUGGUGACACCCAUAUCAACAACCAAAGACCUGCCACUGCCAACCCAGAUGCUCUGAGAGACCUUUGUCUGGAAGCCAUCCUCACUAGCGAUUGUAUUAGCUCAGAUUUGGAUCCCAUCAUUAAACUUUACUCUUUGACUUCAUAAAGAUUCUCUUCCCUAUCCGCCUGACUUGUUACAAAAGUCAAUAAUCUCUACUACAGGUCUCAAAAGGAGGAUUAAUAGUUACUUGAUGAAGCAAGAAAGCAAAUAUGGUUGGCCAUAUGUUGCCAAGAAAAGGAAGAAUGUGUCUUGUUUUCGAAGAAGAAGGAGGAGGAGGAGGAGGAGGAGAAAGAAGAAGGNNNNNNNNN
This 930-nucleotide long non-coding RNA is filed under the name Mus caroli (Ryukyu mouse). RNAcentral describes it as "lncRNA (MGP_CAROLIEiJ_G0004341.1)". The record is from RNAcentral. Lineage: Eukaryota; Metazoa; Chordata; Mammalia; Rodentia; Muridae.